UGAGGCAUAGCCGGGGCCUACACAUGCAGUCGAGCGGUAGAGAGAAGCUUGCUUCUCUUGAGAGCGGCGGACGGGUGAGUAAUGCCUAGGAAUCUGCCUGGUAGUGGGGGAUAACGUUCGGAAACGAACGCUAAUACCGCAUACGUCCUACGGGAGAAAGCAGGGGACCUUCGGGCCUUGCGCUAUCAGAUGAGCCUAGGUCGGAUUAGCUAGUUGGUGAGGUAAUGGCUCACCAAGGCGACGAUCCGUAACUGGUCUGAGAGGAUGAUCAGUCACACUGGAACUGAGACACGGUCCAGACUCCUACGGGAGGCAGCAGUGGGGAAUAUUGGACAAUGGGCGAAAGCCUGAUCCAGCCAUGCCGCGUGUGUGAAGAAGGUCUUCGGAUUGUAAAGCACUUUAAGUUGGGAGGAAGGGCAGUUACCUAAUACGUGAUUGUUUUGACGUUACCGACAGAAUAAGCACCGGCUAACUCUGUGCCAGCAGCCGCGGUAAUACAGAGGGUGCAAGCGUUAAUCGGAAUUACUGGGCGUAAAGCGCGCGUAGGUGGUUUGUUAAGUUGGAUGUGAAAUCCCCGGGCUCAACCUGGGAACUGCAUUCAAAACUGACUGACUAGAGUAUGGUAGAGGGUGGUGGAAUUUCCUGUGUAGCGGUGAAAUGCGUAGAUAUAGGAAGGAACACCAGUGGCGAAGGCGACCACCUGGACUAAUACUGACACUGAGGUGCGAAAGCGUGGGGAGCAAACAGGAUUAGUA
Molecule: ribosomal RNA, 755 nt
Filed under: bacterium
Lineage: Bacteria
Description: bacterial SSU rRNA
Rfam family: Bacterial small subunit ribosomal RNA
Source: RNAcentral